RNAcentral lists this ribosomal RNA (342 nucleotides) under Triticum aestivum (bread wheat). RNAcentral's name for it is "partial small subunit ribosomal RNA". Lineage: Eukaryota; Viridiplantae; Streptophyta; Magnoliopsida; Poales; Poaceae. The record is from RNAcentral.
AUGCAGCCAUACCUCUCCAUCUCUCCCAUGUUGCCAGAUCGAGCCGACGAGGUCCGUCCACGGCCAGAUCCGCCACGGCCACCGAGGGCCUUCCAGAUCCGCGCCGUCGUUGAGCUGGAUCCACGCCCUGCUAGGCACACCAUGGCCGACGUCCUCAAGGCGACCUCCAUGGACGACAUCGAUGACAAGGACGAGGAGGAAGACGACCAUGACAUGCGUGACCCCACCCCCGAGCCCGACGAGCUUGACGAGGAGAUGUCAAGUCCAACCUCGAGCUCGACCAUGACGGCGUCGUCCAGCCCGACCAUGACGAUGCGCCACAGAAGGGUGCCCAGAAUUUGA